This 78-nucleotide transfer RNA is filed under the name Armatimonadota bacterium. RNAcentral's name for it is "Armatimonadetes bacterium (groundwater metagenome) tRNA-Glu". It matches the Rfam family "tRNA". Rfam says of the family: Transfer RNA (tRNA) molecules are approximately 80 nucleotides in length. Lineage: Bacteria; Bacillati; Armatimonadota. The record is from RNAcentral.
GCCCCCAUCGUCUAGCCUGGCCUAGGACAUCGGCCCUUCAAGCCGGAAGCGCGGGUUCGAAUCCCGCUGGGGGCACCA